AACGAACGCUGGCGGCAGGCCUAACACAUGCCAGUCGAGCGCGCCCUUCGGGGUGAGCGGCGGACGGGUGAGUAACGCGUGGGAACGUGCCCUUUUCUACGGAAUAGCCUCGGGAAACUGAGAGUAAUACCGUAUACGCCCUUUGGGGGAAAGAUUUAUCGGAAAAGGAUCGGCCCGCGUUGGAUUAGGUAGUUGGUGGGGUAAUGGCCUACCAAGCCGACGAUCCAUAGCUGGUUUGAGAGGAUGAUCAGCCACACUGGGACUGAGACACGGCCCAGACUCCUACGGGAGGCAGCAGUGGGGAAUCUUAGACAAUGGGGGCAACCCUGAUCUAGCCAUGCCGCGUGAGUGAUGAGGGCCUUAGGGUUGUAAAGCUCUUUCAGCUGGGAAGAUAAUGACGGUACCAGCAGAAGAAGCCCCGGCUAACUCCGUG
This 433-nucleotide ribosomal RNA is filed under the name uncultured bacterium. RNAcentral describes it as "partial 16S ribosomal RNA". It matches the Rfam family "Bacterial small subunit ribosomal RNA", at positions 29 to 507 of the family's 1533-position model. The record is from RNAcentral.